RNAcentral lists this ribosomal RNA (253 nucleotides) under uncultured bacterium. Its description in RNAcentral is "partial 16S ribosomal RNA". It matches the Rfam family "Bacterial small subunit ribosomal RNA", at positions 524 to 776 of the family's 1533-position model. The record is from RNAcentral.
UACGAAGGGGGCUAGCGUUGCUCGGAAUUACUGGGCGUAAAGGGCGCGUAGGCGGAUACUUAAGUCGGGGGUGAAAGCCCGGGGCUCAACCUCGGAAUUGCCUUCGAUACUGGGUAUCUUGAGUUCGGGAGAGGUGAGUGGAAUGCCGAGUGUAGAGGUGAAAUUCGUAGAUAUUCGGCGGAACACCAGUGGCGAAGGCGACUCACUGGCCCGAUACUGACGCUGAUGCGCGAAAGCGUGGGGAGCAAACAGG